Molecule: ribosomal RNA, 460 nt
Filed under: uncultured bacterium
Lineage: Bacteria
Description: partial 16S ribosomal RNA
Rfam family: Bacterial small subunit ribosomal RNA
Source: RNAcentral
ACGAACGCUGGCGGCGUGCUUAACACAUGCAAGUCGAGCGACGCUCUUCCUUCGGGGAGAUGACGGAGCGGCGAACGGGUGAGUAACACGUGGGCAACCUGCCCCUAGCUCUGGGACAACACCGGGAAACCGGUGCUAAUACCGGAUACGACAUCGAGCGGCAUCUCUCGAUGUGGAAAGUUUUUUCGGCUAGGGAUGGGCCCGCGGCCUAUCAGCUUGUUGGUGGGGUAAUGGCCCACCAAGGCGACGACGGGUAGCCGGCCUGAGAGGGCGACCGGCCACCGUGGGACUGGGACACGGCCCAGCCUCCUGGGGGAGGCAGCAGUGGGGAAUAUUGCGCAGUGGGGGAAGGCCGGCCGCAGCGACGCCGGGUGAGGGAUGACGGCCUUGGGGUUGUAAACCUCUUUCAGCGGGGACGAAUUCAGGCGGUACCUGCAGAAGAAGCCCCGGCAAACUACGU